UUUUGUGAUGACUAUACGACACGUAAGGCAUUCCUCAGACUUAAUAUAUCAUGUGGAAUCUGUCAAAUACAAGUUUCAGCCUUGUCUGAAU
RNAcentral lists this small nucleolar RNA (91 nucleotides) under Exophiala mesophila. Its description in RNAcentral is "A. fumigatus snoRNA Afu_455". It matches the Rfam family "A. fumigatus snoRNA Afu_455". Lineage: Eukaryota; Fungi; Ascomycota; Eurotiomycetes; Chaetothyriales; Herpotrichiellaceae. The record is from Rfam by way of RNAcentral.